Molecule: ribosomal RNA, 438 nt
Filed under: uncultured bacterium
Lineage: Bacteria
Description: partial 16S ribosomal RNA
Rfam family: Bacterial small subunit ribosomal RNA
Source: RNAcentral
AGCUUGCUACUUUUGCCGGCAAGCGGCGGACGGGUGAGUAAUGCCUGGGAAAUUGCCCAGUCGAGGGGGAUAACAGUUGGAAACGACUGCUAAUACCGCAUACCCCCUACGGGGGAAAGCAGGGGACCUUCGGGCCUUGCGCGAUUGGAUAUGCCCAGGUGGGAUUAGCUAGUUGGUGAGGUAAUGGCUCACCAAGGCAACAAUCCCUAGCUGGUCUGAAAGGAUGAUCAGCCACACUGGAACUGAAACACGGUCCAAACUCCUACGGGAGGCAGCAGUGGGGAAUAUUGCACAAGGGGGGAAACCCUGAUGCACCCAUGCCGCGUGUGUGAAAAAGGCCUUCGGGUUGUAAAGCACUUUCAGCGAGGAGGAAAGGUCAGUAGCUAAUAUCUGCUGACUGUGACGUUACUCGCAAAAAAAGCACCGGCUAACUCCGUG